This 465-nucleotide ribosomal RNA is filed under the name uncultured Streptococcus sp. RNAcentral's name for it is "bacterial SSU rRNA". It matches the Rfam family "Bacterial small subunit ribosomal RNA", at positions 338 to 795 of the family's 1533-position model. Lineage: Bacteria; Bacillati; Bacillota; Bacilli; Lactobacillales; Streptococcaceae. The record is from RNAcentral.
CCUACGGGAGGCAGCAGUAGGGAAUCUUCGGCAAUGGACGCAAGUCUGACCGAGCAACGCCGCGUGAGUGAAGACGGUUUUCGGAUUGUAAAGCUCUGUUGUAGGGGAAGAACGUGUGUAAGAGUGGAAAGCUUACACAGUGACGGUACCCUACCAGAAAGGGACGGCUAACUACGUGCCAGCAGCCGCGGUAAUACGUAGGUCCCGAGCGUUGUCCGGAUUUAUUGGGCGUAAAGGGAGCGCAGGCGGUUUAGUAAGUCUGAAGUUAAAGGCAUUGGCUCAACCAAUGUAUGCUUUGGAAACUGUUAGACUUGAGUGCAGAAGGGGAGAGUGGAAUUCCAUGUGUAGCGGUGAAAUGCGUAGAUAUAUGGAGGAACACCGGUGGCGAAAGCGGCUCUCUGGUCUGUCACUGACGCUGAGGCUCGAAAGCGUGGGUAGCGAACAGGAUUAGAUACCCGAGUAGUC